Molecule: ribosomal RNA, 398 nt
Filed under: uncultured bacterium
Lineage: Bacteria
Description: bacterial SSU rRNA
Rfam family: Bacterial small subunit ribosomal RNA
Source: RNAcentral
UUGCAGUGGGCGCAAGCCUGAGCAGCCUGCCGCGUGUGUGAAGAAGGCCUUCGGGUUGUAAAGCACUUUCAGUCAGGAGGAAAGGUUAGUAGUUAAUACCUGCUAGCUGUGACGUUACUGACAGAAGAAGCACCGGCUAACUCCGUGCCAGCAGCCGCGGUAAUACGGAGGGUGCGAGCGUUAAUCGGAAUUACUGGGCGUAAAGCGUACGCAGGCGGUUUGCUAAGCGAGAUGUGAAAGCCCCGGGCUCAACCUGGGAACUGCAUUUCGAACUGGCAAACUAGAGUGUGAUAGAGGGUGGUAGAAUUUCAGGUGUAGCGGUGAAAUGCGUAGAGAUCUGAAGGAAUACCGAUGGCGAAGGCAGCCACCUGGGUCAACACUGACGCUCAUGUACGAAA